AGCUUUGUGCAGUGGCAGGAUAGUAGCCAGUGAGGUUUAUCCGAGGUGCGAUUAUUGCUAAUUGAAAAGACAGGAAUUAAGGAAGAAACAAAAAG
Molecule: small nuclear RNA, 95 nt
Organism: Balaenoptera musculus (blue whale)
Lineage: Eukaryota; Metazoa; Chordata; Mammalia; Artiodactyla; Balaenopteridae
Gene: U4
Rfam family: U4 spliceosomal RNA
About the family: U4 small nuclear RNA (U4 snRNA) is a component of the major U2-dependent spliceosome. The structure of U4 snRNA from yeast and human has been reported. U4 snRNA presents a k-turn RNA motif in the 5p-SL related to recognition of Snu13 protein.
Source: Ensembl